This 1048-nucleotide ribosomal RNA is filed under the name Succinea erythrophana. RNAcentral describes it as "16S ribosomal RNA". Lineage: Eukaryota; Metazoa; Mollusca; Gastropoda; Stylommatophora; Succineidae. The record is from RNAcentral.
UUUUUAGUUUGAUUUUUAUAGUUUGAUUUUUUAAUAUUUCAUUAGUAAAUAAAAAAAAUAAAUCAAUUAUUUUACCUUUUGCAUAAUGGUUAUUCUAACUUUCUUUCUUUUUAUAAUCUCUCGAAAUAAUAAGAUCUAAUAAUAUUAUAAUUUAAUGUAGCAUAAUUAAAAAUUUAAUUAUUAUUAGUGAUGAAAUAUCCACAAUUUUUAUGAUAUCUAGAUAAAGUAUAAAUAUAUAUAGUAUAGGUUAAAAGCACAAUUAAAAAGUUAUAUGAUUUUUUAACUAGUUAAACAUUGAAAUUUUAAUAAAACAAAUUAUUUUUAUAAUUUUAGUGAUAAUAAAUAAAAAUGAUUGUCUUUUUUUUAACUUAAUUUAUAUUAUUUAUUUCUUAAAAUAAAACAAAAAAUAUUCAAUGAAUAAAUUAGUAUAAUUUAUAUUGUAUAUAAAUGAACUCGUCUAAAUUUAAUCAACUGUUUAUCAAAAACAUAGCCUAAGGAAAAUAAUUUUAGGUAAGUUCUGCUCAAUGUUUAUUUAAAUAGCCGCAGUACUUUGACUGUGCUAAGGUAGCAUAAUCAAUUGUCUUUUAAUUAAGGACUAGAAUGAAUGAAUUUAUGGUUAAAUUCUUUAUUUAUAUAUUUCUUUAAAAAUUAUUUAUUAGGUGAAAAUACCUAUAAAAUUUUAUUAGACGAGAAGACCCCAGGAAUUUAGCUUAUUUUUUAUUGGGGCAAUAUCUAAACAAUUAAAACUUUAGAUUUUUUUAUAAAUCGAAAUUUAUUAAUAAAAACAAAAUUACCCUGGGGAUAACAGCAUAAUUUUUUAUAAAGAUUGUGACCUCGAUGUUGGAUUAGAAAAAAAUUUUACUUAAAGAGUAAUUUUUUAUGUUCUGUUCGAACAAUAAUUUAUUUUCUACAUGAUCUGAGUUCAGACCGGCGUAAGCCAGGUCAGUUUCUAUCUAUUUUUGUUUAUUUAGUAGUACGAAAGGACCUUAAUUAAUUUAUUUUUAAAAUAGUUUAGGUAGUUUAUAUAAAAUAUUAACUUUGGAAGUUA